ACACCUCAACUCCCAUGGUUCGCCAUGGUGAGCUUGGACUUUGGGGGUUUUGCUGGCCCAUGGUCAGCUCCUCUCAAAUGAAUCAGCCUGCCAGUGUUUGGUGGCAUGACAGGUGUGAUAAAUAUCUACGCUUGCGGUUGCCCACCAGGUAACCUUCAGCAAUGGAGGUUCGCUGGGGCUCAUAGACGUCUCUCCCUCGGCGAGGACAGCUUUUUUAAC
RNAcentral lists this unclassified non-coding RNA (219 nucleotides) under uncultured Tomentella. Its description in RNAcentral is "sequence contains ITS2". Lineage: Eukaryota; Fungi; Basidiomycota; Agaricomycetes; Thelephorales; Thelephoraceae. The record is from RNAcentral.